This 823-nucleotide long non-coding RNA is filed under the name Homo sapiens (human). RNAcentral's name for it is "HSALNT0371556". The record is from RNAcentral. Lineage: Eukaryota; Metazoa; Chordata; Mammalia; Primates; Hominidae.
UGGUGGCCCAGGAAACUUUAUGCCUGGGGGAAUUCUCGUCUCAACCCCAGGGCUUGUGAGCAGGCUUGGCUCUGAGCUGGAGCUGGUCUGCUUCUGGUGGAUGGUGGCCCUGUAUGGACAACUCAGGCAGCUCUUGGUCCUUGAUCUCCUCACCUUGUUGCGUUAGCAUAGUGGUUCCACCUUAGCAAAAGCAUUGGAGCCCCAAGGGCUCACCAUCAGCAUAGACUCUUCUCACCAAUACCUUACCUACCUGGGAUCUGUUGUAUGAGAAAUUCAGAAACCCCCUUUUUGCAUAAGGAAACCAUCAGGAGCUAAAUCAUUUUUUUACAUACAAAGCUAAGUGGUUUUCAAUAUUACAUGUUAACUACAGACCUUCAUUAUGGAAAAUGUUGUGCCUCUGGACUUACGGCAACCUCAAAAUAUUUCAACCUCAAAAUAUUUCGGACAAACCAUUAAGUUUACUUGUAAAUGGAAGCUAAAAGCCUACAUUUUCCAGUAUAUCAUUGAGAAUUGUCUUGAGCUGCAAGUAACAGAAAACUUCUCUACGGUUGCUUAGCUACAUAGAGAUUUGUUUAAUUCUCAACAUAAUGAAGAAUCCAGAGCUCUUCAACUGAUUGGAGGAUGUCCACUCACAUUGGAGAGGGCAAUCUGCUUUUCUCAAAGUUCAGCCACUCAAAUGUUCAUUCAUCCAGAAAUGCCCUUGAAGAUACACACAAUAUAACAUCUGGCCAAAUAUCUGGGCACCCUGUGGCCCAGAUUGACACAUAAAAUUAAACCUCACCAUCUUGCCUAGGGGAAGGAUUUUCUCAUCAUAAAUGCCAUU